RNAcentral lists this ribosomal RNA (742 nucleotides) under uncultured bacterium. RNAcentral describes it as "bacterial SSU rRNA". It matches the Rfam family "Bacterial small subunit ribosomal RNA", at positions 8 to 796 of the family's 1533-position model. The record is from RNAcentral.
AGAGUUUGAUCAUGGCUCAGAGCGAACGCUGGCGGCAGGCCUAAAACAUGCAAGUCGAACGGAUCCUUCGGGAUUAGUGGCGGACGGGUGAGUAACACGUGGGAACGUGCCUUUUGGUUCGGAACAACUCAGGGAAACUUGAGCUAAUACCGAAUGUGCCCUUCGGGGGAAAGAUUUAUCGCCAUUAGAGCGGCCCGCGUCUGAUUAGCUAGUUGGUGAGGUAACGGCCCACCAAGGCGACGAUCAGUAGCUGGUCUGAGAGGAUGAUCAGCCACACUGGGACUGAGACACGGCCCAGACUCCUACGGGAGGCAGCAGUUAGGAAUCUUGCGCAAUGGGGGAAACCCUGACGCAGCCAUGCCGCGUGAAUGAUGAAGGUCUUAGGAUUGUAAAAUUCUUUCAGCGGGGACGAUAAUGACAGUACCCGCAGAAGAAGCUCCGGCUAACUUCGUGCCAGCAGCCGCGGUAAUACGAAGGGGGCUAGCGUUGCUCGGAAUUACUGGGCGUAAAGGGCGCGUAGGCGGAUGUUUAAGUCAGAGGUGAAAGCCCAGGGCUCAACCUUGGAACUGCCUUUGAUACUGGGCAUCUUGAGUACGGGAGAGGUGAGUGGAACUCCGAGUGUAGAGGUGAAAUUCGUAGAUAUUCGGAAGAACACCAGUGGCGAAGGCGACUCACUGGCCCGUUACUGACGCUGAGGCGCGAAAGCGUGGGGAGCAAACAGGAUUAGAUACCCUAGUAGUCC